UGAAGUUAACAUACAUACAUGACAUGUCACAUUCAAAAUUGAGAUAUACUGCAGAUAACACAUUACAUGCAUGAGUGGCAAUCAUAUGGGUUCUGCUUUGAAUCACACGAUUCAGACAGUUGUGAACAUUGAUGAUCAUGAUUGUGUGGUAACUGUAUAUACUGAUUACGAACCAGGAAAAGAAACUAACGGUAGCUCACAGUUCUUUUAGAAAAACAUAAAGGUACUAACUGGCAGUUAUAUUUCCACCAUCACUCCUAGUUGUGACUUCCUACAAGAAAUGAGAACGAAAAUGAUAUUACAGCCUCAUGUCCCUUCCUUGUUUGGCCAUUAUAUUCGACAUGUUCCUUCCCUGAACAAAAGAGAUCAAUAGUGAGCAUUAAAGACCCCUGAAAACUCAAUAGGAUAUACGCCAUGGCAGUAUCUGCCCCGUUUUCAUAUUCAUUCAAUGCACAUUACCAAAAUCUAAUAGUAAUCAAACUUGAAUUAAAAUGGUACAUAAAGUUUUUGUAGUUAGAGAUAGGACCAAGUUGGAAUAGUAUAGAGAAAAUCAAACUUUAUCCUAGCAUUACACGGAAGAAACGUGACCCACUUAUCAUAUGAACAGAAACAGACCGAGAAAUUUAUUUACCAUCAGAUGUCGAUCUCUAUAUUUCCGCUUUGCAAAUGAUCCCAAUUUAAAGCUUGAUAUCCGUUGGAAUCUUCACAUUACACUGCAACCUACAAAGCUUGAAUAAGGCCACUAACGUUCAGAGCAUAGCUUAAAGAAUUGUGCAAUUAGCUCAUGAAAGCCCCCUGAUGUAACAUUUUUACCUGGUUGGUGAUGCAUGGUGGUCUACUAUGCGCAAUAAAAUACAACAAGUAAACCAGAUAAUGAUCAUAUUAAGUACUACAUCAUCAAUAGGCUGAUCAUGUUUGCACUGCCAAUUACUACAGACUUACACACGCUCCCUUCAAAUUUCAAGAACUGCUUAGCCAACAAUUCCAAGUUCAAGCAUGAAGUAGUCAAAAUGAAAUAACUCAAAAUAUUUUUAGAAUCACAACAUAGAAGGAUACUCUUGAGGACUAUGUGAACCUAGAAGACCAGGAAAAACAAUAUUUCAACUUCGCAAUGAUAUAAGGGCAUCUCCAUCACUGGGCGCUUAGCCCCGGCGCCAGGCUCGUAAUCCCAGCAGAUUAGCGGUUGCCGGCUAUAAUCCUGGCGUCAACCCUGGCGUCGACGCCAAAUCACGCACCCGGCGCUUGGCCAUUUUUCUUCCAUCACUUAGCAUCUACGUUGUUUAGUUAAUUAGCGUCUAGCGUUGAGGGAUGAGGCGCUUAGGUGUUCUUCAGAUUUUAUUAUUUUGUUCGUAAGCGCCUAUGUAAGCUCCUAGCAUUGUAGAUGCCCAAAGGGAAACAUAUUAAAUAAUAGCAGUUGUGAAUGGGCAUAUAAGUAUAUAUCACCACCUUUAGUCCACGACAACAUGUAAAUUAUCUACUUAAUAGUAAACGGUGUAUCUAGAGAUAAUGCUAACCAAUUCUGCAUACAAAACGCUUUCGAGAUGGAAAAUUAUAAUUUACUCCUAACGUUCCUUGUAGAUUGUGGUUGCUCAAAGUCAAAUAGCUGCAAUACAUGAAAACUUUUAUAUCAAUUAAAACUACUUCAGUAGUACAUACGCACAUGAUCAAGGAUAAAAUGAAUACUACUACACACAAAUGGUUAAGUAGACAAAACACCAUAUGUUCAAUCACACAAGCGGCAAGCAUGAGCCAAAAUAGAACAAAACUCUGUGCCAAAUCCUGAAUAUAAACACAAUCGAAACUAAUAUCCAUGACAACACAUAGGAAAGAAAAGAAUGCAGUAGAUAAAUAGAAAAGGAAGUGAACAAAACCACUGGCAGAACAAGCAAGCAACAACAUGCAGAGAUCUUACAGCCUGCGACAUAAAAGGGGAGGAACUCAUCAGGCAGAAGCAUUAAUCCAAAAGAACCUCAUCUCCACUGACCAUGCAGACCCAGCCACUCAUGCUCUCCACGACGACGAGGUGCGCCCGAUCCGGAAUCACGGAAAAUCACACUGCAAACUAAAUACUGGAGCAUCAGAUUAGCAGCUAUAUAUUCCAAGCAUGCAUUUUUAACUGUAAAAGAGCUAAUAAAGUGUUUACUUCAAGAAAAUACAGCAGGCCAAACAAAAAAUGUCUUUCUAAAGGUGAACAAAAAAUGAAAUAUCAAUCCUAAUAAUUAGGGUGUGCAGGACCAAAUAAUUAAUAUGCCACUUUGGAAAGAAAACUUCAAAAUGUACCAACGAUUGUGUUCACAGUGUACAAUUGGUCGGCCUGUCAUAUUCUUCUCAUCAUCAGUUUAUUACACGAAAAAGGACUGCCAUAGCCUCACAUAUGUGCUCGGGAUGCUGCAACAAGCAACAAACUACCAACAGAAGACAAAUUUGCAUAUGUACCUAUUGAGAAACAACAUAUAAAUUUAUUGGAUGAUAAUUUGAAUGUUGUACAAAAUUCAAGAGAAACUUUCCACUACCAUAUAGUGCUCGCCGCAUUACUUCAUUGCACAUAUACUCUGUAAUUGAACUAUUGACUGUAGGAAAAAUAUGUAGUGCACACAUUUACCAACAUAUAUGUGGGAAAGACACGUGCCUAAAAGAGGGCACAUUCAAAAGUGGCAACUUGUACGACAUAAUAAGCAGUAAACACAUAAACAAAGCACGCAUUUAAGCACACUUAUUCACACCUUGCCUGAUUCAGUGCUAUACCGGUUGUCAUGAAAGCAUUCAAACUGACACGAUGACCCUAUGCACUGCAUCUAUCAUUAAGUAGAGGAGAAGAUCAUAAAGAAACAAAAUAAAGGCAUUCACCUGCAUCAUAUCCCACCUUGUAUUGAUAUGAAUAUGAAAGCCUCCAAUAAUUAAAGAAUUCAUAGUUGAGGGCAUCUGGUAUUAAGUUCGCUAGUUCUUGUGUGUCCCCAUAUCCAUCACCAUCUAUACACAUUGAAGGUUCCUCUGGUAGUCAUCAUGGUAAAGGGAUUGAGAAAGCAUUGGAAUAAAUUUCUCAUGUAGUAAGACGUUGAACCUUAGCAAAGCAGCAGUAAUCAACGGCUCAAGCAAGCACCAGAUCAACUUGACAACUUUACCUGCAGCCACACCUUGCAACAAAGAGAAUACAAACAUUAAAAACAGGAGAAGAAGUUAUGAAGAAAACCUCACAAGGCUACCAAUAACGCACUCCUAAUAUGAUCAUUCAGUUACUAUCAUCUUAUAUAUGAAAAUGAGAUAUUAUGACACAGUGGUAGGAGCAAGUGAUAGUGGAUCAAGCCUCCGAGUUCAAGCACUUACAUUGCAAUAAUUUGGCUUCCUCCUUUUAAUUGUGAUUAAACAUACUUAAGGGAGUGUCUGUUCUAAAACCAAUGAACAAGCCUAAACAUGAAUGGUUCCAGUAGACUUGAUAACCCAUUCAAGCUUAAGUGACCUUGAAGCGCUGCUCUCUGGAGCCAUGAUCGCGACACCAAGAACUCGCACGAGACAUGGAGGAGCACGUCAGCACAACACCCUCACACCAAUGCCUCCAACCUGCAUAUGAGGCUUUUCUGAUUAGGAACUAUAUGGUAGAGAAACAACAUUUAUCUGUUCUAACUGAGUCUCAAAAGUGAUCAAAUUGGACCAUAUUCAAAAUCCAUAAAUAACCAAACUGGAACAUGUCCAAAAACUAUAGCUCUAAUAAAAGGAUUCCUUUAACCACAAUAGCCAAGAAAGUAAACAAAUUCUGGUGGAUUAACUUGGUGACUUAGACAAACAUGAGAUCUGGAAACAAUACACUGGAAUAAAGUGGUCAUUCUGACAAUGUCCAUGGAACUGAAACCACCAUGAGUACCAUUGUUGAAAUUAUGACAAAUCUCAUUAUUCCAAAGUAGAGUCAGUGCACUUCUUCUUAGAAAAAGUUAAAUAGUUCUAAAUAAUCAGUAAUAUAAUACACCAUAUGUUGAGUGAAAUCUGUCUUUUGGAUUGAGUAAUUAAAUAACUACAAAGAUCUUGCAAAAUCACAACAUAACAAGAAUCUGAAGCUUUGUUGAGUCCUUUUUUUCUAUAGAACAUAAAGCUUGAUGCCAAUAACCUUACGGUCCUUAUCUACGCCCAAUCAAAAAUCGAAUGGUCAUUUCCUUGUCCUUUUCCAUUUUCUCGAGUGACAUUGACCAACUUAGUUAUCCCAAAAAGUUCCUACAAUUGUGACCCUGCUGCUGCUGCCUCACACAUACCUCUCCUCAGCCCUACAAUGUGUGUGCCGCCCAAAGCUCAGACAUUGUUGCUCCAUCCCCCUACCGCUAGCCUACAGACCAUCCCUGCUCCUCCACCCAGCCGUGAAGUCUAAGAAUUAGCAGCAGGAAGAAUAAACUGAAAAAUAGAGCUCGUUAUGACAGAAGUAUUUCACCGAAUAGCAUAUAGGCAAAUAUGGGAAGAGUCAUUCACCUUAGAGUUGAAGGCAAGAACCCAACAAGAAUCACAAUCUACAAUUAGAGAGGAGUCAGGGAAAGGGAGAGCUCAC
This 4528-nucleotide long non-coding RNA is filed under the name Triticum aestivum (bread wheat). RNAcentral's name for it is "long non-coding RNA (TAES_LNC027410)". The record is from RNAcentral. Lineage: Eukaryota; Viridiplantae; Streptophyta; Magnoliopsida; Poales; Poaceae.